UACAGAGGUCUCAAGCGUUGUUCGGAUUCAUUGGGCGUAAAGGGUGCGUAGGCGGCGCGGUAAGUCGGGUGUGAAAUCUCGGGGCUUAACUCCGAAACUGCAUUCGAUACUACCGUGCUUGAGGACUGGAGAGGAGACUGGAAUUUACGGUGUAGCGGUGAAAUGCGUAGAUAUCGUAAGGAAGACCAGUGGCGAAGGCGGGUCUCUGGACAAUUGCUGACGCUCAGGCACGAAAGCGUGGGGAGCAAAAGGG
Molecule: ribosomal RNA, 253 nt
Filed under: uncultured bacterium
Lineage: Bacteria
Description: partial 16S ribosomal RNA
Rfam family: Bacterial small subunit ribosomal RNA
Source: RNAcentral